AUUAUAGCUCAGUUGGUAGAGCAAUUGAUUCGUAAUCAAUAGGUCGCCAGUUCGAUCCUGGCUA
Molecule: transfer RNA, 64 nt
Filed under: pig gut metagenome
Rfam family: tRNA
About the family: Transfer RNA (tRNA) molecules are approximately 80 nucleotides in length.
Source: RNAcentral